Molecule: small RNA, 29 nt
Filed under: Bombyx mori (domestic silkworm)
Lineage: Eukaryota; Metazoa; Arthropoda; Insecta; Lepidoptera; Bombycidae
Description: ovarian small RNA-34633
Source: RNAcentral
UGGAUAAUGUUUUUAAUGUCCACCUGGGA